AGAGGGCAUGCGUUGUGGGGGAGGUACAGGCGGUCUGCCUGCGAGUGAUUGGGGAUUUGGUUGUAUUUUCACAGGUGACAGGAUGAGGGGGAGAGCUAGUUUCUGUGUGUGUUGGCUUUUAUUUCUGAGGAAAACGUAUCUAGGUGUUGGGCUGUGUUUCCAAGAAGGGAGUGUAGAUGUGUGUCUCUGAAAGAAGGGUAGGUGUGUGUCCCCCUGAGUUGGCAGGCUGCAUUAGGUUGUAUUUUGAAAGGCAGAUAUGCAUGUGUGAGUGUGCAUAUUUUUAUUUUUUAGAAUUGAAAGAGUGUGUCCAGAGUGUGUUGUGUUUCUGAGUGUUUCAUUGUUAUUUCUAAGAGACAGAGCAUAUUAAGUUGUAUUCAGAGAGGGGCAUAUGUGUGUAUUUCAUUGUAUUUGAAAGAAGAGCAUGUGUAUUUUUGAAAAUAUGUAUUGUGUUUUUAAGAAGGAGGGUGUGUUUCUGAGAGGGGAGUGUGUGCAUGCCUGUGUGUGUGUGUGUGUGUUGUACAAGGGCUCCAGGGGAACCAUGAGCUGUUCAUUGACUUUGUCACCCACAUACAACCACACAAAGUCCCAUAUGUGAGACCCCCACCCCUUAUAAUCUUGGCCUCAGACCCUCAGCUGUUGCAUGGCCAGUGUGACAUCCAUGGGCCACACCUGCCACACCUGUGUCCCAGCAUGCCUUGGGCUGACUGGGCCUGUCUGCAGUGAAGGGUGGAGAUCCUUUAACUUCGGGAUCUGUCAGCUCCUCAGGCCCUGGGAGCCAACACGUGGGGUUCCCUCCCUAGCCCCCCAAUCUAGCACCUCCUUGCUUCCAGCAACCCAGCCCCUUGGGCUCUCAUCCCCGCCCCAGCCCCAGUGGUCUGACUGGUUCCCAACAAAAACACCCUAAGAAUGAGCUCACAGAGAGGCUGCUGCCUCCACAUGCCCCACCCCACUCACCCAGCAGGGGAGGGCACCUGCAGUCCAGGUCACACGGCCGGGAGGUCUGGCCAGGGUAUCUGGGGUCCUUGGGGUGGGGAGGAUUGACCAGGUGAGCUGAGGACAGGUGGGACCACAAGACAGCUGUCUACCCUCUUUUGAUUAGUUAUACACAGGGUUUUGGAGUUGCCCUCAGGGCAGAGCCCUGCGCUGAGGACAGGAAAGGUGGCCUAGACUGUGCUGGCUGGGAUGCUGGCUGUGGGACAGGAUGCUGGCUGGAGUGAGGAGGGCACGAGGCAGAGGGCUGGCAGAGAUGGCUGGAGAGGAAGACAGCUGGGAGAGGUCCUGCUGGCAGAAAUGGCAUGGAGACUGAAGGGUUGGCUCUUCUGGCCCCAGCAGUGAUUCCCCAAUCCUGGCCACCCUCAGGAGCAGCCAUGUCUGUCCAGGUGGCAGCCCCUGGAGGCACAGGGCUGGGCCCAGAGCGCUUGAGCCCUGAGGAGCUGGUGCGGCAGACGCGACAAGUGGUGCAGGGGCUGGAGGCCCUGCGGGCCGAGCACCACGGCCUGGCCAGGCAUCUGGCUGAGGCCCUGGCAGGACAGGGCCUGGUGGCUGGCUUGGAACUGCUGGAAGAAAAGCAGCAGGUGGUGAGCCACUCACUGGAGGCCAUCGAGCUGGGGCUAGGCGAGGCCCAGGUGCUGCUGGCCUUGUCAGCGCAUGUGGGGGCGCUGGAGGCCGAGAAGCAGCGGCUGCGAGCACAGGCCCGGCGGCUGGCCCAGGAGAACUCGUGGCUGCGGGAGGAGCUGGAGGAGACGCAGAGGCGGCUGCGGGCCAGUGAGGAAGCCGUGGCCCAGCUGGAGGAGGAGAAGGGCCACCUGGAAUUCCUGGGGCAGCUGCGGCAGUAUGACCCACCUGCAGAGGGCCAGCCAGAAGCCCCCCUUCGCCGAGACAGCCUGGUCUCCUUGUUCCCCAGUGAGGAGGAGGAGAGGAAAGGUCCUGAGGCAGCGGGGGCUGCGGCUGCUCAGCAGGGUGGCUACGAGAUCCCGGCCCGCCUUCGGACCCUGCACAACCUUGUGAUCCAGUACGCGGGACAGGGCCGCUAUGAAGUCGCCGUGCCACUGUGCCGCCAGGCCCUGGAGGAUCUGGAGCGGAGCUCAGGCCACUGCCACCCUGAUGUGGCCACCAUGCUCAACAUCUUGGCACUGGUAUACAGGGACCAGAACAAAUACAAAGAGGCCACGGACCUUCUGCAUGAUGCCCUGCAGAUCCGGGAGCAGACGCUGGGCCCUGAGCACCCUGCAGUAGCUGCCACCCUCAACAACCUGGCUGUCCUCUACGGGAAGCGUGGGCGCUACCGGGAGGCGGAGCCCCUGUGCCAGCGUGCCCUGGAGAUCCGGGAAAAGGUCCUGGGCGCUGACCACCCAGACGUGGCCAAGCAGCUCAACAACCUGGCGCUGCUCUGCCAGAACCAGGGCAAGUUCGAGGAGGUGGAACAGCACUACGCCCGAGCCCUGAGCAUCUAUGAAGCCCUGGGCGGGCCCCACGACCCGAACGUGGCCAAAACCAAGAACAACCUGGCCUCAGCCUACCUGAAACAGAACAAGUACCAGCAGGCAGAAGAGCUGUACAAGGAAAUCCUCCGCAGGGAGGACCUGCCGGCCCCUCUCGGUGAGCCCCAGCUUCUCCCCCACCCCAGGAGGCUUCUCAGUGUCCUCAUGGGUGUCCCCUUCCUGUUCCUCAGGAGCCCCCAACCCAGGCACAGCUGGCGAUGCAGGACAACAGGUGAGGAUGGGCUUUGCGUCUCUCAGGGUGGGGAUGGGGGUACGGGACUGAUUAGUGUCCCUGGUACCCUCCCCAGACCCUUCGUCGGAGCAGCUCAUUCUCCAAGCUUCGUGAGUCCAUCCGGCGUGGAAGCGAGAAGCUGGUCUCCCGUCUCCGAGGCGAGGGGCUGGUGGGGGCAGCUGGGAUGAAGAGAGCUGUGUCACUCAGUGUGCUGAACACAGACAGCCCAGGGGCUGCUGGGAUCCAGGUCUCCAAUCGGCACCUGGGCGAGGCCUCGCGGACCCUCAGCACCAGCACCCAGGACCUGGGUCCCAGCUGAAGGUGACAGACCACGAGGCUGCAGCUCCCAGGGGGGCUGGGGAGAGCUGUGGGGGAGUGGAGUGGCUUCCCCAGUACCAUCUCCUGAGAUUAAAGGCCUUGGCUCUGGCGGUCA
Molecule: non-coding RNA, 3145 nt
Organism: Manis javanica (Malayan pangolin)
Lineage: Eukaryota; Metazoa; Chordata; Mammalia; Pholidota; Manidae
Source: RefSeq, a predicted model, not a curated record